CGCGGCUGUCCUAUGUCAUUGCCUGUUCAAAAAGAUUGGGGGAGGACGUAGCAGUAGCACUUCGUUAAGUUUAAACUGCUCUCGACGAGUUCCAGAUGCCGAUGGUCGUGAAUGUCUGGUGGUGGAAGUGAUGCUGCUGUAAAGAACUCCCUGCUGCGCUAGCAUUACUACACCACUUGGGCUAUAAGCAAUCAGAGGGAGCGAGAAAGAGAUACGAAGAAUUUAAAGGACCAGGGACUGCAGUAUCGUGUUUUAAGUGAGAGGCACACCAAGUGAUGCUGAUGAAGAAGGAUGUGGUGGAGGGAGACGAAUGCCCGGGCCCCGAAGUGUUGUACCAGUCUGAGAGAUGGUCCCUGCGAGGCCCCCUGCGGUGGAGAGCCAACCGUGGCUCGCCUGAACUCCUGCCAAGCUCACUGGCUGUUUGAGUUGUUGCAGAUGGCACAGACAGUAGCACUGAUGUGGCAGGGUACACAUAAUGAGACAAUACAUAAAACAAAUAGUACAAACAGAGCACAACACUAUUCUAUGUCAUUAGAUUAAUAUUACUGCUACAUGAAUGUUUUGGUGCAUUUCCCCGAUGUAGAUUCUACAGUUGAGUUGAAUUUCACAGACUGCUGAUGGGUUUAAUCUACAGCAAUGCAUCACACUCUGUAAGAUCAUAAUAUGUUUCUAGCAUCACUCUCUCAGAAAAACAGCCUUAUUUUCAACUCUGCGGCGAUGCAUUUUCCAGCUAAGUCAAAAGGAUUUUUAAAUUGUAUAUUCAGGGAAAGAAGUAGAAUAAUCCUCUCAGUCAAUAAAGAAAACAGUUAAAUGUUAAAGAUACCAAUAUUUUUUGGAUAUAUAGUGCUCACAGGACCAGAGGGGGAUAAAAAUAAAUCUGAGUAAGUAACUAGUAAAAGCUGUCAGACAAAUGUAGCAGAGUGCAAAUUACAAUAUUUGCCUUUGAGUUGUAGUAGAUUAGAAAUAUAAAGUUGCAUUCAUUGGAAAUGCUCAGGUAACACACAAAUAUGUUGAAUUUCUACUUGAGAAGAUGUACUUGAUUAGUAAUACUUUUCCUACAUUUCACCAAUGGGAUUUUUUGCUCUCGUGCUCCACAUUGGCACUUGAGCAUCCUUCAUGUUAAAUGAAGACAGAGUCUGCAAAUUGAGUAAAACUUGUCUAUCACCCACCUACAAUGCAGUACUGAGUUCCCUUCCCAGACGGCUUAACAACGAUUCACACCUGGCUCACCUAGCCAUAGCAACCCACAUGAAGGUCGGUUAAGUCAACGACCCACAAGGGGCCCUGGCGACUCUGAAACUCAGAGCUCACGCAUGUCCUUAACGACUCUGUAAGGACGCUCCCACACAGAGUUUAAAAACCUGCGACGCCCCUCCAGUUAGGUACAACUGAAGAAGCCUCUUGGAUAAGAGGUGAAACCGAAACACGUCCAGUUGCCUACGACGACAGCACAUAGCCACGACCUGGAAGACUGAGAACCUUCAUCAACAAACUUUUUUAUAUACCGCAAACUUUGAAAAUGUAGUCAAGAACAAAUAUUACACAAUAACGAUAACGUACUCAAAAUGACAGGGUCUGAGAUUCCUGUUUCAUGUUAAUCAUAUACGAGAUGAUGCAGAACUAAAUACUGUGUGGCUGCUCACAUAAGCAACCCUGAUUAUGUCUACCACUGAGUUAAUCAUAUGCUGCUUUUUGUACUCACCCUGCCGCUUGAAAAGUUGAAAUUGUUUAUUUAAGUUUCCUCAUUUUGAUAAUAUAAGUUCCCUUUUUUCUGGAGUAUUAAGAAAAAACAGAUGCAGUGAAGAGAGGAAGAUUUUGCUCACAGUUUUCUCAGCAUGAAUGCAUCUCAUCACUAAAAACUUGCUAUAUUUAUUCAAAGCAACAUUAUGAUAAUUGAUAUUGAGUGAUAUAUUUGAUUAUAUGUCAUGGACCUUCUGUCUGUGAUGGGACCAUUUGUCCUGUUAAGCACAGGGGUUUGUUAUUUAUGUGGCAGUGCUUUUUAAAUGUAUAACACUGCCGUAAUCACGAUAUCACUGCUUGUGAUAACUAUCACAUGACCUGUUUGUGUGUGUGUUAAUAUCAUUACGACUAAUAAUUCCUGCCUGGACGUAACUCCA
Molecule: long non-coding RNA, 2117 nt
Organism: Acanthopagrus latus (yellowfin seabream)
Lineage: Eukaryota; Metazoa; Chordata; Actinopteri; Spariformes; Sparidae
Exons: 3
Source: RefSeq, a predicted model, not a curated record